Molecule: microRNA precursor, 103 nt
Filed under: Marmota monax (woodchuck)
Lineage: Eukaryota; Metazoa; Chordata; Mammalia; Rodentia; Sciuridae
Source: RNAcentral
AGUGGGAUAACUGGGUCAAAUGGUAGUUUCAUUUCAGCUUUUCUGAGGAAUCUUCAUACUACUUUCCAGAGUGGUUGCACCAAUUUACCAUCCCACCAGUAAA